CUCUAAAAACCUGGUUGUUUCUUCAUUUUUCUAGAAAUCUCAGCUAGUUUUCCAGUUCCAAAACUAAAAAUACACAAAAAACAUUUAAAAAAUAGAAAAAAAAAAAAAAGUGAUGAUUGUUCCAUUGGUUCGAAAAUAGCUUCAAUUGAGAUCUUUUGUUCUUUGCUGUUUGGGUUUCAAUUUCAAGCUGUUUUAUCAGAUUUCAUGGAUCUAGUAGUUUUGCUGGGUUCUAGUUGUUCAAGUUCAUUUUCUGAGUUAAUUUGCUAGCAUUUGUGAACUUGGUUUGAAUGAAUCUGGGUCCAAGUAAGCUGCAUUUGUUUGAGUCUUAGUCUGGGUCAGUUUCAAGCUUGUUGUGACUGUUUUAGCUGGUUUGGGAGUGAAUCAGUGGUGCUGUGAUACUGCUUAUUGCUUCCUGCUGCUGUGAUUUGCUACUUGAAUUUCUGCUGGCCCUCCUCUUUUCUUUGGAUACUGUGCACUUCCAGGUACACAUAUGAACUUGGCUUUGAUGUAACUUUUGAAGGGAAAUGAAAGCUGAAAGUAUUUUAC
RNAcentral lists this long non-coding RNA (546 nucleotides) under Nicotiana benthamiana. Its description in RNAcentral is "long non-coding RNA (NBEN_LNC022682)". Lineage: Eukaryota; Viridiplantae; Streptophyta; Magnoliopsida; Solanales; Solanaceae. The record is from RNAcentral.